RNAcentral lists this long non-coding RNA (607 nucleotides) under Homo sapiens (human). RNAcentral describes it as "HSALNT0370863". Lineage: Eukaryota; Metazoa; Chordata; Mammalia; Primates; Hominidae. The record is from RNAcentral.
UUGUCCUAUUUGGUUCGGCUUUGUCUCUAUGUCAUCUUAAUUCAGUGUGCCCAUGAUCACACGGUGUGUAAGUGAUGAAAGCAGGAGAUGAAUUCAGGAGAAUUGUUUGAACCACUGGGGAUGGGGACUAUGCCUGUCUCAUUCUUUGCGGUAUCCCAGCACCUAGUACAGUGGCUCAAGAAAGAGACACUGAAGCCUGCAAAAAGAGAGAGAUUUGCCUAAGGUCUGUAGUCUGCAGGUGAGCUCUGGGUUCAGAGAAGUGAUGUUUGCCCAACGUCAGGGCUCUUGUUUGAACUUCUCUGCUGCAACCAGUCCUUCCUAUGUUGGUUGAAGGAGAGCUUUGCUUCUCGUGGCAUACAGGGACCCACCCUUAUGGCAUGACUUCAAAGUUAUGUGACAUGGUGGUGCAGCUGGAAGAUGAGGAAAGUGAACAACGUUGGAGAGGCCCCACCUACUCUUGACUGUCUCUGCUGGAAGUGAUUCAACACUCCUCUUUAAAUUUCAUUGAUAAGGAAAACCCCCAUGAGAGAAAGUAACUUGAUCAACAUCACACAGCUAGGUGGGAGUGGUGGCUUCUGCCUGUAAUCCAAGCACUUUGGGAGGACGA